RNAcentral lists this ribosomal RNA (301 nucleotides) under uncultured bacterium. RNAcentral describes it as "partial 16S ribosomal RNA". It matches the Rfam family "Bacterial small subunit ribosomal RNA", at positions 509 to 809 of the family's 1533-position model. The record is from RNAcentral.
CAGCAGCCGCGGUAAUACAGAGGGUGCGAGCGUUAAUCGGAUUUACUGGGCGUAAAGCGUGCGUAGGCGGCUUCUUAAGUCGGAUGUGAAAUCCCUGAGCUUAACUUAGGAAUUGCAUUCGAUACUGGGAAGCUAGAGUAUGGGAGAGGAUGGUAGAAUUCCAGGUGUAGCGGUGAAAUGCGUAGAGAUCUGGAGGAAUACCGAUGGCGAAGGCAGCCAUCUGGCCUAAUACUGACGCUGAGGUACGAAAGCAUGGGUAGCAAACAGGAUUAGAUACCCGAGUAGUCCCUGUCUCUUAUAA